Molecule: long non-coding RNA, 442 nt
Filed under: Daphnia magna
Lineage: Eukaryota; Metazoa; Arthropoda; Branchiopoda; Diplostraca; Daphniidae
Description: uncharacterized LOC123474305
Source: RNAcentral
GAAUUGAGGGAUUAUGCAAAGUUUAAUGGUAUAAAUUUUCCCCAAUGGCGGUAUGGUGUCAUGCUCAAACUAAGAAAGAAGAAGUUUGAAAAACUUGUGCUCGGACAAGAUCCAAAACCAGCAGAGGUUUGAUUUCCACUGAGUAGGAAAUAAGAUUUUCUACAGUGAAUUCUGUUACGUCAAUUUUUGGGAUUCCACCCAUAAGGUGAGGUUGGUCAUAGUAAAUGUUCAGAUUUAUAUUUUUUUUGGAUACCACCCGUGAGGUGACGAUCACAUCCCAGUGAUUUUUUUUUGGAUUCCACCCAUAAGACGUUUAACAAUGAAAAUGAAGUAACGAAUCAAGAUGUUAUCGACACUUGGAUUGAAAGAGAUACUGAUGCCUGUUCCAUUAUUUACUACAAUAUCGAGCCAACAUAUCAAACUUCAAUUGAAGGAUCUGCCA